GGGAGGUAGUGACAAUAAAUAACAAUACGGGGUUCUUUCGGAUCUCGUAAUUGGAAUGAGUACAAUUUAAAUCUCUUAACGAGGAACAAUUGGAGGGCAAGUCUGGUGCCAGCAGCCGCGGUAAUUCCAGCUCCAAUAGCGUAUAUUAAAGUUGUUGCAGUUAAAAAGCUCGUAGUUGAAUUUCGGGAUCAGAUUGUCGGUCGUGCCUUGGUACGCACUGGCAUUAUUGGUUCCUACCUUCUGAAGAACCGCGAUGUCAUUAAUUUGGUGUCGUGGGGAAUCAGGACUGUUACUUUGAAAAAUUAGAGUGUUUAAAGCAGGCGCACGCUUGAAUACAUUAGCAUGGAAUAAUGAAAUAGGACGUUUGAUUCUAUUUUGUUGGUUUCUAGGAUCGACGUAAUGAUUAAUAGGGAUAGUUGGG
RNAcentral lists this ribosomal RNA (421 nucleotides) under uncultured Glomeraceae. Its description in RNAcentral is "SSU rRNA". It matches the Rfam family "Eukaryotic small subunit ribosomal RNA", at positions 459 to 886 of the family's 1831-position model. Lineage: Eukaryota; Fungi; Glomeromycota; Glomeromycetes; Glomerales; Glomeraceae. The record is from RNAcentral.